This is a long non-coding RNA of Phalaenopsis equestris, 762 nucleotides long. RefSeq lists it as uncharacterized. The transcript is spliced from 3 exons. Lineage: Eukaryota; Viridiplantae; Streptophyta; Magnoliopsida; Asparagales; Orchidaceae. The record is from RefSeq and is a predicted model, not a curated record.
GGGUUUCAACCGCAUGUUGCGAUUCUUCCUUCCUCUUUCGACGGCGACCCUGUUGCAAUCUUCUUCUUCCUCGUUUUCACAUUCUUUAACAGACCAAAUGGAGUAACCAGCCAUGCGAGCGCUCUUUACUUUUAUUCCUCUUGAGUCGACGUCAUCCGCCAUUCUUCCCUUUUCGCCUUCGUAGCUGUUCUCUAACACGAACCAACAAGCCAUUAGUCGUCCACGCCCUUACUCUUCCUGGUUCUUCUUCUUCGUCACUUCAGUGUCUCUUUCCUCCCGAGUAAGUUCAGUGGCCAACAUAGAAACGAAGGGGUGUGGCAUCAAGGAAUGGAGACGGUGUGAGAAGAUAAUGGCAUUCUGAUGGGUGGUGGCAUCGAGGAUGAGUGACAUCACAAUUGCCCCUCUAUUGUUCUGAGGGUAAGUUUUGAUGUAUUUGUGCGAAACACAAAAACGAAGCACUUCUGCGACCCUGAAGAAGUUGAGUUGGAGCUUUACCACAAGAGAUUCAAACUUAAUUGUUGGUACUUGACUGCGCAUGGUGUGCAAGAACCUGAAGUUCAAUUUGAUCAAGGAGGUGCCUUGACAAGUUAUGCCCCCCCCCCUUAAGAGGAAUUUGAUCCUGUCACAUAUGAAAAAAUGGUCCAUGAUGCUUAGAGAGCUCAAUUUGUUGGGAACAUUCAACACAAAUCUAAAACACCAAAUAACAAAACAAAAUAGUUCUAUAACUUACUGAACGCUUCACAACAACUUUUAUGGGAUGAU